UUUCGCAAUGCCCGAAAGGGUGACGAAGCGACGCCGCGUGAGUGAGGAAGGCCUUCGGGUUGUAAAGCUCUGUCAGGAGUUAAGAAAUGUAAGUGUGCUAUACCACAUUUAUUUGACGAAGGCUCCAAAGGAAGCCACGGCUAACUCUGUGCCAGCAGCCGCGGUAAUACAGAGGUGGCAAGCGUUGUUCGGAAUUAUUGGGCGUAAAGAGCACGUAGGUGGGCUUGUAAGUCAGAUGUGAAAGCCUUCUGUUCAACGGAAGAAUUGCAUCUGAAACUGCGAGUCUUGAGUGUAGGAGGGGAGAAUGGAACUUCUGGUGGAGCGGUGAAAUGCGUAGAUAUCAGAAGGAACGCCGGCGGCGAAAGCGACUCUCUGGCCUAUUACUGACACUGAGUGUGCGAAAGUUAGGGGAGCAAACGGGAUUAGAUACCCCGGUAGUCCUAACUGUAAACGAUGGGCACUAAGUAGAGGGGUUUU
RNAcentral lists this ribosomal RNA (477 nucleotides) under uncultured Methylomirabilota bacterium. RNAcentral describes it as "bacterial SSU rRNA". It matches the Rfam family "Bacterial small subunit ribosomal RNA", at positions 364 to 832 of the family's 1533-position model. The record is from RNAcentral. Lineage: Bacteria; Methylomirabilota (SeqCode).